GCUAUGCGGUCGAAGCAUUGGAGAAGGUUGUCGCUUUUUAUCAGGUGAGUAAUAAACAUCUCAUGGAAUAAAAAAUACGUUAUAUUGGGUAACUUUGAAAACCUAGAAGAUUGUGUUUUGAUGAAAUAUAUGACUUGGCGAUAUAUUAGAAUCUGGUGAAUUGAAAUAUCCCGCCAGAAGUACCGUGAAGAUUUCUGAGGUAAUGUUAAUGUGCGAUCCAUUAAGCGUGUAACGUUGAGUUAACGAUUUAGAAAUGUCAGUGAGUAAUGUUAGUUUUGCAAUUAAUAUUCGGAUAAAAUAAAAAUGCCCUCAUUUGAAUCUCUUUACCGAUGCUAUGCGACAAAGCGAAACAUACCCAUAAUUAUAAUUCAUAAUUUGAUACACACUGAUGAAGUGUUCUAAAAUGUCCUGGUAGAAGGUCCACUGUGUCAAGCAGGACCGGUCCACUGUGUCAAGCAGAACCAGCCCACACUACUAAAGAAUUCUUACAAACAAAUUGAUGUCAACAAUGAAUAUGGAUGGCUCAGGGCUGAAGAAGGCCUUUGGAAAACACGGCUAUGUCGUGUUAUAAUAGGUGCACUACAGCAGUCCAAACCUUCAUUAUCAGAGGCUGAAAUAAAAAAAUACAGCUAAAAAAUCUCCGGUCUGCUCCCGAUAGAUGUGGGGGUAUGGGACGACAAUAGGGGAAAUCUGCGAUUGAUGUGUGUUCAGAUUCUGAAUAAGUAGGCCUUAAGCCAAUUGUUUAUCAAAAUUAUUUUUGUUCAUUUGGGAUAUGAUCUGGGAAAACCCAUCACAUGGUGAAAUAAAAAAUACUGGUUUUAGUAUCAUAUGAAAGCUAUUAAGCCCUUUCCAAAACUGUUUUUAUUUAAUUUACAAAUUGUUUUUAUGGAGUGGGUGGUCUAGUGGGUUAAACCACUGAACUGGUAAAUCAAAAGGUUGCUGGUUCUAUCCUAGUAGCCACCACCAGUGUGUUGCUCAAGGGGGAUUGUCCCUGUAAUAAGUGCACUGUAAGUCGCUUUGGAUAAAAGCAUCUGCUAAAUAACUACACGUAAAUGUAAAUGUUUUUAACAAAUGGAAAGGGCUUGAGAGCUUUCAUAUGAUAUCAAAACCUGUAAUAUGUACAAUUUUGUCAUGUGAUGGCUUUUUCCAGAUCACUUAAUAUUUAUAUAUUAAUUUAAAUGUUAAUAUUUAAUUUAAAUGUAAUUCAAGGAGGAUUUUAUAUUUAUUAGUGGUUUAAGAACAUUUUAAAUUUCUGGAAUUGUAGCUGAUUGUAUUUAAUAAAACAUGUCUUACAUUAA
Triplophysa dalaica is the source of this 1298-nucleotide long non-coding RNA. RefSeq lists it as uncharacterized. Lineage: Eukaryota; Metazoa; Chordata; Actinopteri; Cypriniformes; Nemacheilidae. The transcript is spliced from 3 exons. The record is from RefSeq and is a predicted model, not a curated record.